This 8625-nucleotide long non-coding RNA is filed under the name Salvia miltiorrhiza (redroot sage). RNAcentral's name for it is "long non-coding RNA (SMIL_LNC009269)". Lineage: Eukaryota; Viridiplantae; Streptophyta; Magnoliopsida; Lamiales; Lamiaceae. The record is from RNAcentral.
AUGUUGACAUUCAACGAAAUGGGGCUAGCUAAAGCCCAAAGCCAGAGAAAAAUCGAGGCAGAGAACCUUCCAUCCCACACUAUAAAACAGCACCUUCACUCUCCAAUUUUCUCAUCACACUUAGCAAACUCAUUCAUAUCAAAUCUUCAUUUCUCUUCCAUUUCUCCAAAUUCCAAGAGGUAAUCAUGGGUGUGAUCACUUACGAUGUAGAGACCCCUUCCUCCAUCCCGGCCGGGAAGCUCUUCAAGGCCCUGGUGAUCGACUCCGACACCCUCAUCCCCAAGAUCCUGCCUCAGGCCAUCAAGAACGUCGAGAUCUUGGAAGGAGACGGCGGCGCCGGCACCGUCAAGAUCAUUCAUUUUGGCGAAGGGAGUCAGUAUAAGAGCGUCAAGCACCGUGUGGAGGCCAUCGACAAGGAGAACUUCACCUACACCUACACCAUCAAUGAAGGUGAUGUUCUCGCAGAUGUCAUUGAAUCCAUCACUUACCAUAUCAAGGUCGUCCCAACCGAAGAUGGAGGAAGCAUCUGCAAGAACAGGAGCAUUUACAACACCAAGGGUGAUGCUGUGAUUGAUGAGGAGAAGAUCAAGGAGGGGAAAGACAAGGCCCAACAUAUGUUCAAGGCCAAUGAGGCUUACAUCACCGCCAACCCCGACUACUGAAAGAGACGAGGCUUCAUAUAUCAAUGAUGUCAUUUUAUAUAUAUACGUGGUUUCUGAUAUGAGAUAAUUGGUGUGCGAGAGACUAUGUAUAGGCUUAAUUGCCUAGAGUGAUAUCGAUUUACUUUGUGUGAUUUUUGAAUUUGUGUUGAGUGAAUAUUAUUGUAUUGAAUUUGUGUUGCACUAAAUAAAGAAGCAUAGUUUUUUUUUUUUUUUUUUGAAUUAAUAAAGAAGCAUAGUUAAUUGCAAGUUUGGUGGUCGUGGGAUUAAUAUUUUUAUUGUUCUCUUGUGGUUGUUUUGUUUCUUUAUUUAGGGGUAACUAAUAUAUCCAUAUAUUUCAGAUUAGCAUAUGAACAUAAAUUUCACCUCAAAAUACAAGAACUUUCAUUUUUUAUUUUUUAUUUUUUUCUUUCUAACUUUGCACCUGAUAAAUAAUUUAACGUUGAAAACUGAGGAAGAUGUUGGAAUUAAUCUAUGUAUGCAUAGAGUUUUGAUAUAUAUUUUUAAUGAAUGAAUACUGAGGUAGAAGUCAGAAUUAUCUUUACAUGCAACGAAUUUUUUUUAUAAACAACAUAGUUAGACUAGUAAUGAAAUAUUGUCGUUUCAUCAUAAAAUAAGUCCUAUAUUUUUAGAUGAUCAUUUAAAGCAUUUUUUUUUUUGCAAUUUAAGACUAAGAGCAGUGGCGGAUCCAGGGGGGGCUAGGGGGGGCUUCAGCCCCCUCCCAAUUUUUGAGUUUUUUUUUUUAAAUUAUAGAUAUAUAUUUAUUAUUUUGUUUUAUAUCUAUAUAUAUGUGUAUAUAAAUAAAAAAAUACAAGAAAAAAUAUAGUAAUACAUUAUUUAUAGUAUCCAACUAUCCAUAUUAAUUGCUCAACACAUUGAGUUGUUACAUUUAUAGUAUUAUUUUUAUCAUUUUUUCUUUCUUAGUUAAUUUUUAAUGUUAAAUUUGAGUCAAUUCUAAAGGUAAAAGUAAAAUUACUAAUUACUAACAAUGAAAAUUAGUUUAUUUGUUUAGAAGAUGAAACAAUUUUUUUUUAAGAAAAAUGAAUAAAAGUACGUUUUUAUAUGCUUUCAAUCUACUUGAUGUUGAAUUAAUUGAAUUGCGAACAAUUAUCUUAUUAUAUUAAGUGAUUGUUGAAAAAAUGUAUGAAAUGAAGUGUACGGAAUGCUCAAAAAAAUUUGCUUCGGGGGCUCCCGCCCCCGAACCCCCGUGUAAAUAUUUUCAAGCACCGUAGUCCAAUAGAUUCAGCCCCCCCUAACAUUGAAUCCUGGAUCCGCCCCUGACUAAGAGGGUUGUGAGUUCACGAUCAAGGCCGUACUUCAUUAUUCGUGAUUCAUGAUUUUGAAUUCGUUGUUCGGGUCCAAUAUUUAGGUUCACAUAAUUAGGUCUUCGAGUUGUGUGUUUGUAAUUGAAUCCGUUGAAAAUAUUUUUAAUUUGUGUGCAAGAUUAGGGGGAAAAAAAUGAAAUUUUAUAUAUUUGGAAAUAUGAUUUAUAGCUCAUGUGCAAAAUAAAAAAAUAUAUAAAUUUUUUUAAGAUGCUAUUACCACUUUUAUUUAUUUUCGAGUUGAGUUCAAAAUCAUAAUUAAGGAAGACUGAUAAAAUCUAGAGGUCAAUCGUUUAGGUUGCUCACUGACAAUGAAAUGUGCAAAAUUAAUAUAAAAAUAGGCCAGUGAACCAUGUGGAUUGAAUCGGAGUCUUUUUUAGGUUCAUUUAUAUAGUUGGACAUAAAAGGGGAUAGAGGUUUAAUUCACUCAGUAUAAAAGUUGACGGUGAAUUUUAGACCAAUUAAUGAGAAACAAAUUUUUUAGAAAAUCAAGAAUUUAUGAAUAACUUUUAAUAAAAUAUCAUAUAUAUUUAUUUUCUUUAUCCAGUACUUGAUUUUUAUCCUGUGAUUAUUUAUUAGAUUGCUGAUCCAGUGACUUGAUUUUUAUUGUAUUGGAAAUUGAAUUAUAUAUUCUAGGGUAAAUUUAAUCUAAAACUAUAAUAAAUUUUUGUAAUAUUUUAUUUUUUUUCCAUAAUCUUUUAUUCUUGUUUCAUAAUCUAUUUGAAAUCUCUUGAUUUGAGUUUAGUCUGUAUCUCUGGGCCAAAACGUCAAAUUUGUAUAUGGCCCAAAGGCUUUUAAUGGGCUACAUAGUCAAAUGGGCCGAAUUUUUAGGUCGAGAGUCCAUUGGGUCAAAAUUGCAACUACAGAACGGAAUAUUCUAUUUAAGGAGAUUGGAGUACUUGGACGACGCUGGGGUCAAAAAUUAUUAAUGCGAAUUUUUUUCUAAAUAUUAGACUUUUAAUAAUACAGAGACGACUCUUUACAGAAAUGAAUAUUUUUUAAACAAAAUACUACUUAUAAUAUAUAGUUUAUCCUCGUAUCUUAAGUGACUUUAUUUGUAGGUAUUAUUGUUCGUUUUUUAGUUAAAUGCUUAUUAUGAUGUUUGUAAUUGCAAAAAAUUAAAAGGCAUUCGUAUGAAAAUUGUAUAUUCAGAAAAGAUGGGUUAUUAUUGUGUGAUCACAAUUCACAAGCUUGAGCAGACUUAUUCAAGGAGAUUUGCUGCUCAAAUUUGUGUUCACAUUUAUUGCCAAAUACAAUCAAGAGAAAGUGUAGACUAGUCUACCAUGGAGUGCUACGUACAACCAAUUUUGGUCUUAAAAUAAAUGCAAGUGUGAAUUUUUCUUCUUAUUCUGUUUCUAUAUAUAUAAUUGAAAUAGCUCUCAAUUGACCCUACAAGAAUGCUUCAACUUGUGAUGUCAAAGCAAUUAUAGUAAAGACUGUGAAGUAAUAUAAAAAUACGAUUAACUUACAUCAUUCGGGAAAUUUUCUAUGCAUUUUCUUGACAUGUUUCACAUGCAUGCCACAAGGUGAAGCAAAAAACAUAUGACUUCUUAUUCAUUUUAAUUUAAUACUAAGUUAAAGUUAACUUAAAUCAAUAUCAUGAUUUGGCAUUGACGAACUCAUGCAGCUUAUAAAAUAUCAAGCAUAAUGAUUAGAUAAAAAUCGUCAUACUCGAGUGGUAAAAAAGAAAGAUACAGAUCCUUUUGGGACGGCUAAUGGUAAAGUGAAUAUAAACGUGGUUUAAGUCUGUUAUAUAGACCUAUUUUUUUAAAAUGAGAUUUGCAGAUUUCACAGAAACAUAGAUUUAUCAAAUAAUACGACUUGUCACACAUAGUUUUUGAUGUAUGAUUUGUCUGUAUCGAAUCUUAAUAUCAUAAUGAAUAGUUUUUUUUUUCACAUUUUUUCACUAUUUUCAAUACUAAUUACAAUACAUUUUCACCACUUUCAAUACUAAUUACUCCCUCCGUCCCGGUCAAAGUGGUGCACUUCUUUUGGGCACGGGAUUUAAAGAGAAUAAGAUUGUAGUGUAAAAGUGUGUAAAUGUGUGUGGGGCCAUAUUUUUUGUAGUGUAAAAUUAUUACCAAAAAAGGAAAUGCACCACUUUCGGUGGGACAGCCCAAAAAAGAAUACGCACUACUUUCGGUGGGAUGGAGGAAGUAUAAUAUUUUUCACUAUUUACAAUAUACUCAACAAUUUUGUAUUAAAAUUCGUACCCCUUAGGAAGUUAUUUGGGGGUCGGUAGAGGAUAAUGCCAUGUUCUAUGACACCCCAAAAUAUCAUCGAUUAUUAAAUCAAUCCAUAAAUGCACCAUGAAUAAUUAUGUCUACAUUCAACGAGAUGGGGCUAGCUAAAGCCCAAAGCCAGAGAAAAAUCGAGGCAGAGAACCUUCCAUCCCACACUAUAAAAUAGCACCUUCACACUCUCCAAUUUUCCCAUCACACUUAGCUAAUCUCAUUCAUAUCAAAUCUUCACUUCUCUUCCAUUUCUUCAAAUUAAAAAAAAAAGGGAAUCAUGGGUGCGAUCACUUAUGAUGUAGAGACCCCUUCCUCCAUCCCGGCCGGGAAGCUCUUCAAGGCCCUGGUGAUCGACUCCGACACCCUCCUCCCCAAGAUCCUGCCUCAGGCCAUCAAGAACGUCGAGAUCUUGGAAGGAGACGGCGGCGCCGGCACCGUCAAGAUCAUUCAUUUUGGCGAAGGGAGUCAGUAUAAGAGCGUCAAGCAUCGUGUCGAGGCCAUCGACAAGGACAACUUCACCUACACGUACAGCAUCCUUGAAGGUGAUGUUCUCUCAGAUGCCAUUGAAUCCAUCACUUACCAUAUCAAGGUCGUCCCAACCGAAGAUGGAGGAAGCAUCUGCAAGAACAGGAGCAUUUACAACACCAAGGGUGAUGCUGUGAUUGAUGAGGAGAAGAUCAAGGAGGGGAAAGACAAGGCCCAACAUAUGUUCAAGGCCAUUGAAGCUUACAUCACCGCCAACCCCGACUACUGAACGAGACGAGGCUUCGUAUAUCAAUGAUGUCAUUCUAUAUACGUGGUAUCUCUGAUGCGAGAGGAUCGGUGUGCGAGAGACUAUCUAUAGGCUUAAUUGCCUAGAGUGAUAUUGAUUUACUUUGUGUGGUUUUUGUAUUUGUGUUGAGUGAAUAUUACUGUAUUGAAUUUGUGUUGCACUAAAUAAAGAAGCAUAAUUAAUGUUGCAAGUUUGGUGGUAGUGGGAACAUUUUUAUUUUUCUCGUGGUUGUCUUGUUAUUUUAUUUAAGUGUAAUUAAUAACCGUAUAUUUCGGAUUACGCAUAUGAGUAUAAAUUAAAUUUCGUCUCAAAAUACAAUAACUUUUUUUUUUCUCUAGCUUUGCACCUGAUCAUAAAUAUUUUUGACGAAUAAAUAUUGAUAUAGAAGCCAAAGUUAUCUUUAUGUGCAACGAAAAUCUUCAUAAGCAAUAUAAUUUGAUUAGUAAUAAAAUAUUGUCGUUUCAUCAUAAAAUAAGUCUCAUAUUUUUAGAUGAUCAUUUAAGGCAUUAUUUUUCACAAUUUAAAAUUAAAGGGCUGCGAGUUCACGAUUGAUUCAUGAUUUUGGUUCAUAUAUUUAGGGCUUCGAGUCGUGGAUUCGUGAUUGAGUUGUGAAUGUUUGAAAAUAUCUUUAAUAUGCUUUGGAAAAAAAAAUUAUAUAUUUGGAGACAUGACUUAUGGCUCAUGUGCGAAAUAGAUAAAUGUUAUAAAAUUUUGUAUUUUAGAUACUAUAACCACUUUUAUUUAUUUUCGAGUUUGAGUUCAAAAUAUUACUCCCUCCGUCCCAAUAAAAGUGGCCACAUUUCCUUUUUGGGUGUCCCAUUAAAAGUGGCUACUUUCUAAAAAUGGCAAAAGUUUACUUUAAUUAAGUCAACAAUUACUCACUAAUUUGGUCAACAAUUGUAGGCCAUUUUCUAAAAAUGUCAAAAUUACUUACUAAUUUGGUCAACAAUUGUAGGCCACUUUCUAAAAAUUACUCACUAAUUUUGGUGGGUCACACUCAAUUAAAACAUAACAAUUCCCUUCUUAAUCUCCGUACCUAAAAAAAAGUGGUCAUUUUUAUUGGGACGGAGGGAGUAAUAAUUAAGGAAGACUAAUGAAUCUAGAGGUCAAUAUAUCGUUUAGGUUGCUCACUGACAAUGAAAUGAGUAAAAUUAAUAUAAAAAUAGGCACCAUGUGGAUUAAAUCGGAGUCUUUUUCAGGUUUAUUUAUUUNUUAGGUUAUUUAGUUUAGUUGGACAUAAAAGGGGUUGGGAGGUUUAAUUCACUCAUUAUAAAAAUUGACGGUGAAUUUUGGACCAAUUAAAGAGAAACAAUCUUUAGUUAUAUCAACUCUUAUUAUAUUUACGGAGACUAUUUAUAGAAAAUUCAAGAAUUUAUGAAUAACUUUUAAUAAAUUAAAUAUCCUUUAUACAUUUAUUUUCUUUAUCCAGUGACUAUUUAUUGGAUUGCUUAUCCAGUGACUUGAUUUUUAUUGUAUUGGAUAUUGAAUUAUUAUAGGGGUAAUUUUGACAUCUCGCCGGGGAUUUUUUAGACAAAACUUUAAAAUAAAAAAGUGCAAAUAAAAGUUACUAAUGCGAAAAAUAUUCUAAAUAUUAGACUUUUAAUAAUAUAGAGACUCUUUAACUCUUUACAGAAAUUAAUAUUUUUUAAACAAAAGAUACUAAUAAUAGAUUGUUUAUCCCCGUAUCUUAUAAAGUGACUAGAUUUGUACGUAGGUAUUAUUGUUCGUUUUUGAGUCAAAUGCUUAUUAUGCUGGUUUUAAAAGGCAGUACUGUAAUUACCAUGCAUAUUUUAAUAUUCGUAAGAAAAUUGUUAAGAAAGAUGGGUUAUUGUGUGAUCACAAGCUUGAGCAGACUUAUUCAAGGAUAUUUGCUGCUCAAAAUUUGUGUUCGCAUUGUCUUGCCAAAUACAUACAAGAGAAAGUGUAGACUAGUCUACCAUGGAGUGCUACAACCAAUAUUUGGUCUCAAAAUAAAUGCAAGUGUGAAUUUUUCUUCUUAUUCAGUUUCGAUAAUUGAAAUACCUCUCAAUUGACCCUACAAGAAUGCUUCAACUUGUGAUGUCAAAUCAAUUAUAGGUAAUAAAGACCGUGAAGUAAUAUCAAUAUAUGAUUAACUUACAUAGUUACAUAAAUCUAACAGAAAAAAAAACAAGAAGAAAAGUCCACAACGAGGCACUAACUAAUUUUGUAAAUGAUACUCUCUUCGUCCUCUAAAUAACUUCAUAUCUGUCCCCAAGGGGACACCAAGCGGUGCGAAUAGUGAAUAAAAAAUAAAAUAAAAAAUAAUUAUGUGAAUAGUGAGGUCUCGGGUUCAAACUCCACUGCCCCCCUCCCCAACACCCCCAUGUAAAAAAAUAAAAAAUAAUAAUAACUUCAUAUCUUUUUUUUAGGUUGUCUCCCAAAUAAUUUACUAGUACUUUAUUUUAGGACACUAUCCCAACUUUUCAUAAUACUUCAUUUAUUCUUUUUUUUUUCACCACUCUCAAUACUAAUUACAACACCUUUUCAUCUUUUAUUAUUAUUAUUAUUAUUAUUAUUAUUAUUAUUAUUAUUAUUAUUAUUAUUAUUAUUAUUAUUAUUAUUAUUAUGCACUCAAUAAUUUUAUCUUAAAAUCAAUGGGCCCCCUCAAAAGAUUAUUUGGAGGAUGGAGGGAGCAUAAUGCCAUGUUAUAUGACACCACAAAUAUCAUCAAUUAUUAAAUUCAAACCAUAAUUAAUGCAUCACGAAUAAUUGAGUUGCCAUUCAACGAAAUGGGGCUAAAGCCCAAAGCCAAAGAAAAGUCGAGGUAGAGAACCUUCCAUCCCACACUAUAAAAUAGCACCUCACACUCUCCAAUUUUCCCAUCACACUUAGCUAAUCUCAUUCAUAUAUAUCAAUCACUAAUCAAUCUUCACUUCUCCUCCAUUACUCCAAUUUUUUAAAAAAGAGAAUCAUGGGUGCGAUCACUUAUGAUGUAGAGACCCCUUCCUCCAUCCCGGCCGGGAAGCUCUUCAAGGCCAUCGUGCUCGAGCCGACACCCUCAUCCCCAAGAUCUUGCCUCAGGCCAUCAAGAACGUCGAGAUCUUGGAAGGAGACGGCGGCGCGGCACCGUAAGAUCGUUCAUUUUGGCGAAGGGAGUCAGUAUAAGAGCGUCAAGCACCGUGUCGAGGCCAUCGACAAGGAAACUUGACAUACACGUACACCAUCAUUGAAGGUGAUGCUCUCUCAGAUUUAUUGAAUCCGUCACUUAUCAUAUCAAGAUCGUCCCAACAGAAGAUGGAGGAAGCAUCUGCAAGAACAGGAGCAUUUACAACACCAAGGGCGAUGCUGUGAUUGAUGAGGAGAAGAUCAAGGAGGGGAAAGACAAGGCCCAACAUAUGUUCAAGGCUAUCGAGGCUUACCUCAUCGCCAACCCCGACUGCUGAAAGAGACGAGGCUUCUAUAUCGAUGAUGUCAUUUUUAUAUACGUGGUAUAUAUAUACCUGUGAUGCUAGAGAAUUGGUGUGCGAGAUAUUAUAAAUAGGCUGAAUUGCCUAGCUAGAGCGAUAUCAAUAUUGAUUUACUUUGUGUGGUUUUUGAAUUUGUGUUGAGUGAAUAUUAUUGUGAUGAUUUGUGUUGCACUAAAUAAAGAAGCAUAAUUAAUAUUGCAUGUUUGGUGG